RNAcentral lists this small RNA (253 nucleotides) under Nannospalax galili (Upper Galilee mountains blind mole rat). RNAcentral describes it as "Metazoan signal recognition particle RNA (ENSNGAG00000005558.1)". Lineage: Eukaryota; Metazoa; Chordata; Mammalia; Rodentia; Spalacidae. The record is from RNAcentral.
GCUGGGCGUGGUGGCGCACGCCUUUAAUCCCAGAACCUGGGAGGCAGAGGCAGGUGGAUCUCUGUGAGUUCAAGGCCAGCCUGGUCUACAUAGUGAGUUCCAGGACAGCUGGGGCUACAGGGAGACCCUGUCUCAAAAAGACCAAAAAAAAAAAUUUGUGUGUUUAUUUGUUUGGGUUUUUUUCUUUUUUAACUCACUUUGUAGAACAGGCUGGCCUUGAACUCAGAGAGAUCACAGAGAUCCACCUGCCUCU